GGGCACAUGGUGUAGAUGGUUAUCACGCCUGCUGAGCAUACUCAGUGUGAUCGCAGUAUUUAAAUUCUGCAGGUGGUGCCCGGUUCAAUUCCGGGUGUGUCCA
Sphagnurus paluster is the source of this 103-nucleotide non-coding RNA. Lineage: Eukaryota; Fungi; Basidiomycota; Agaricomycetes; Agaricales; Lyophyllaceae. The record is from the annotation of a GenBank genome assembly.